This 497-nucleotide ribosomal RNA is filed under the name uncultured bacterium. RNAcentral describes it as "partial 16S ribosomal RNA". It matches the Rfam family "Bacterial small subunit ribosomal RNA", at positions 28 to 507 of the family's 1533-position model. The record is from RNAcentral.
GAUGAACGCUGGCGGCGUGCCUAAUACAUGCAAGUCGAGCGAACGGACGAGAAGCUUGCUUCUCUGAUGUUAGCGGCGGACGGGUGAGUAACACGUGGAUAACCUACCUAUAAGACUUGGAUAACUUCGGGAAACCGGAGCUAAUACCGGAUAAUAUUUUGAACCGCAUGGUUCAAGAGUGAAAGACGGUCUUGCUGUCACUUAUAGAUGGAUCCGCGCUGCAUUAGCUAGUUGGUAAGGUAACGGCUUACCAAGGCAACGAUGCAUAGCCGACCUGAGAGGGUGAUCGGCCACACUGGAGCUGAGACACGGUCCAGACUCCUACGGGAGGCAGCAGUAUGGAAUCGUCCGCAAUGGGCGAAAACCUGACGGAGCAACGCCGCGUGAGUGAUGAAGGUCUUCGGAUCGUAAAACUCUGUUAUUAGGGAAGAACAUAUGUGUAAGUGACAGUACACAACUUGACGGUACCUAAUCAGAAAGCCACGGCUAACUACGUG